UACAGAGGGUGCGAGCGUUGUUCGGAAUUACUGGGCGUAAAGCGCACGUAGGCGGCUUUGUAAGUUAGAGGUGAAAGCCCAGGGCUCAACCCUGGAAUUGCCUUUAAGACUGCAUCGCUUGAACAUCGGAGAGGUAAGUGGAAUUCCGAGUGUAGAGGUGAAAUUCGUAGAUAUUCGGAAGAACACCAGUGGCGAAGGCGACUUACUGGACGAUUGUUGACGCUGAGGUGCGAAAGCGUGGGGAGCAAACAGG
This 253-nucleotide ribosomal RNA is filed under the name uncultured bacterium. RNAcentral's name for it is "partial 16S ribosomal RNA". It matches the Rfam family "Bacterial small subunit ribosomal RNA", at positions 524 to 776 of the family's 1533-position model. The record is from RNAcentral.